RNAcentral lists this transfer RNA (56 nucleotides) under Salmo salar (Atlantic salmon). It matches the Rfam family "tRNA", at positions 10 to 63 of the family's 71-position model. From Rfam's summary of the family: Transfer RNA (tRNA) molecules are approximately 80 nucleotides in length. Their secondary structure includes four short double-helical elements and three loops (D, anti-codon, and T loops). RNAcentral also lists the same sequence under 2 other names. The record is from Rfam by way of RNAcentral. Lineage: Eukaryota; Metazoa; Chordata; Actinopteri; Salmoniformes; Salmonidae.
GCUCAGUUGGUAGAGCAUGGCGCUUGCAAUGCCAGGGUUGUGGGUUCGAUUCCCAC